UACAGAGGUCUCAAGCGUUGUUCGGAUUCAUUGGGCGUAAAGGGCGCGUAGGCUGCGGGGCAAGUCAGAUGUGAAAUCCCUGGGCUCAACCCAGGAACUGCAUUUGAAACUCCCUUUCUUGAGUGUCGGAGAGGAAAGUGGAAUUCCUGGUGUAGAGGUGAAAUUCGUAGAUAUCAGGAGGAACACCGGUGGCGAAGGCGGCUUUCUGGACGACAACUGACGCUGAGACGCGAAAGCGUGGGGAGCAAACAGG
RNAcentral lists this ribosomal RNA (253 nucleotides) under uncultured bacterium. Its description in RNAcentral is "partial 16S ribosomal RNA". It matches the Rfam family "Bacterial small subunit ribosomal RNA", at positions 524 to 776 of the family's 1533-position model. The record is from RNAcentral.